GGGGGUGGCUCGGUGCAGCAUCUGGCUUGUCAUCCAUGAUGCUCGGGGUUCGAAUCCCCGCACCUCUACCA
Molecule: transfer RNA, 71 nt
Filed under: Candidatus Peregrinibacteria bacterium
Lineage: Bacteria; Candidatus Peregrinibacteriota
Description: tRNA-Thr
Source: RNAcentral